RNAcentral lists this non-coding RNA (32 nucleotides) under Mus musculus (house mouse). The record is from RNAcentral. Lineage: Eukaryota; Metazoa; Chordata; Mammalia; Rodentia; Muridae.
CUGACUUCUACAUUUAACCCUCCCAAUAAAGU